GACGAACGCUGGCGGCGUGCCUAAUACAUGCAAGUCGAACGAGAGCGACCGGUGCUUGCACUGGUCAAUCUAGUGGCGAACGGGUGAGUAACACGUGGGUAACCUGCCCAUCAGAGGGGGAUAACAUCCGGAAACGGAUGCUAAAACCGCAUAGGUCUUCGAACCGCAUGGUUUGAAGAGGAAAAGAGGGGCAAGCUUCUGCUGAUGGAUGGACCCGCGGUGCAUUAGCUAGUUGGUGAGGUAACGGCUCACCAAGGCCGUGAUGCAUAGCCGACCUGAGAGGGUGAUCGGCCACAUUGGGACUGAGACACGGCCCAAACUCCUACGGGAGGCAGCAGUAGGGAAUCUUCCGCAAUGGACGCAAGUCUGACGGAGCAACGCCGCGUGAGUGAAGAAGGUUUUCGGAUCGUAAAACUCUGUUGUUAGAGAAGAACAAGUGCUAGAGUAACUGUUAGCGCCUUGACGGUAUCUAACCAGAAAGCCACGGCUAACUACGUG
This 498-nucleotide ribosomal RNA is filed under the name uncultured bacterium. Its description in RNAcentral is "partial 16S ribosomal RNA". It matches the Rfam family "Bacterial small subunit ribosomal RNA", at positions 28 to 507 of the family's 1533-position model. The record is from RNAcentral.